Molecule: ribosomal RNA, 427 nt
Filed under: uncultured bacterium
Lineage: Bacteria
Description: bacterial SSU rRNA
Rfam family: Bacterial small subunit ribosomal RNA
Source: RNAcentral
UGGGGAAUCUUCCGCAAUGGACGAAAGUCUGACGGAGCGACGCCGCGUGAGUGAAGAAGGCCUUCGGGUUGUAAAGCUCUGUCUUUGGGGACGAACGUGCCUAUCAUAAAUAAUGAUAGGUAAUGACGGUACCCGAGGAGGAAGCCACGGCUAACUACGUGCCAGCAGCCGCGGUAAUACGUAGGUGGCAAGCGUUGUCCGGAAUUAUUGGGCGUAAAGCGCGCGCAGGCGGGAUAUCAAGUCUAUCUUAAAAGUUCGGGGCUCAACCCCGUGAUGGGAUGGAAACUGGUAUUCUUGAGUGUCGGAGAGGAAAGUGGAAUUCCCAGUGUAGCGGUGAAAUGCGUAGAUAUUGGGAGGAACACCAGUGGCGAAGGCGACUUUCUGGACGAUGUCUGACGCUGAGGCGCGAAAGCCAGGGGAGUGAACG